UACGAAGGGGGCGAGCGUUGUUCGGAAUUACUGGGCGUAAAGGGCGCGCAGGCGGUAGGCCAAGUCAGGCGUGAAAGCCCCGGGCUUAACCUGGGAACUGCGUCUGGGACUGGUCUGCUAGAGAUCGGGAGAGGAGAGUGGAAUUCCCAGUGUAGAGGUGAAAUUCGUAGAUAUUGGGAAGAACACCGGUGGCGAAGGCGGCUCUCUGGACCGAUACUGACGCUGAGGCGCGAAAGCGUGGGGAG
This 245-nucleotide ribosomal RNA is filed under the name uncultured bacterium. RNAcentral's name for it is "partial 16S ribosomal RNA". It matches the Rfam family "Bacterial small subunit ribosomal RNA", at positions 524 to 768 of the family's 1533-position model. The record is from RNAcentral.